Molecule: non-coding RNA, 134 nt
Organism: Caenorhabditis elegans
Lineage: Eukaryota; Metazoa; Nematoda; Chromadorea; Rhabditida; Rhabditidae
Source: Ensembl
GAGUAAAGGGCUAUUGAUAUCAGAUGGCUUCUAUUUCACCCCCAAUCAUUCCCAUCCCCUUGCCCGUCCCGCUCGCAUUAUUCAACCCAUUUUCUUUCGUGCUUUCAAUCACCUAUCAGUGAGUGAGCAGCCAA